This 455-nucleotide ribosomal RNA is filed under the name Trabulsiella sp. RNAcentral describes it as "bacterial SSU rRNA". It matches the Rfam family "Bacterial small subunit ribosomal RNA", at positions 30 to 473 of the family's 1533-position model. Lineage: Bacteria; Pseudomonadati; Pseudomonadota; Gammaproteobacteria; Enterobacterales; Enterobacteriaceae. The record is from RNAcentral.
AUUGAACGCUGGCGGCAGGCCUAACACAUGCAAGUCGAGCGGCAGCGGGGGAAAGCUUGCUUUCCCGCCGGCGAGCGGCGGACGGGUGAGUAAUGUCUGGGAAACUGCCUGAUGGAGGGGGAUAACUACUGGAAACGGUAGCUAAUACCGCAUAACGUCUUCGGACCAAAGUGGGGGACCUUCGGGCCUCAUGCCAUCAGAUGUGCCCAGAUGGGAUUAGCUAGUAGGUGGGGUAACGGCUCACCAAGGCGACGAUCCCUAGCUGGUCUGAGAGGAUGACCAGCCACACUGGAACUGAGACACGGUCCAGACUCCUACGGGAGGCAGCAGUGGGGAAUAUUGCACAAUGGGCGCAAGCCUGAUGCAGCCAUGCCGCGUGUAUGAAGAAGGCCUUCGGGUUGUAAAGUACUUUCAGCGGGGAGGAAGGUGUUGUGGUUAAUAACCGCAGCAAUUGA